RNAcentral lists this transfer RNA (73 nucleotides) under Stegodyphus dumicola. RNAcentral's name for it is "tRNA-Lys". It matches the Rfam family "tRNA". Rfam says of the family: Transfer RNA (tRNA) molecules are approximately 80 nucleotides in length. The record is from RNAcentral. Lineage: Eukaryota; Metazoa; Arthropoda; Arachnida; Araneae; Eresidae.
GCCUUCGUGGUGUAAUGGUCAGCACACUCGGCUUUUAUUCCAGAGGUCCGAGGUUCGAGUCCCGGCGAGGGCA